GUGAACGCUGGCGGUAGGCCUAAACCAUGCAAGUCGAACGGCAGCACAGUAAGAGCUUGCUCUUACGGGUGGCGAGUGGCGGACGGGUGAGGAAUACAUCGGAAUCUACUUUUUCGUGGGGGAUAACGUAGGGAAACUUACGCUAAUACCGCAUACGACCUACGGGUGAAGGCAGGUGAACUUCGGACCUUGCGCGACUGAAUGAGCCGAUGUCGGAUUAGCUAGUUGGCGGGGUAAAGGCCCACCAAGGCGACGACCCGUAGCUGGUCAGAGAGGAUGAUCAGCCACACUGGAACUGAAACACAGUCCAGACUCCUACGGGAGGAAGCAGUGGGGAAUAUUGGACAAUGGGCGCAAGCCUGAUCCAGACAUACCGCGUGGGUGAAGAAGGCCUUCGGGUUGUAAAGCCCUUUUGUUGGGAAAGAAAAGCAGCAGGUUAAUACCCCGCUGUUCUGACGGUACCCAAAGAAUAAGCACCGGCUAACUACGUG
This 491-nucleotide ribosomal RNA is filed under the name uncultured bacterium. RNAcentral's name for it is "partial 16S ribosomal RNA". It matches the Rfam family "Bacterial small subunit ribosomal RNA", at positions 29 to 507 of the family's 1533-position model. The record is from RNAcentral.